RNAcentral lists this ribosomal RNA (210 nucleotides) under uncultured eukaryote. RNAcentral describes it as "partial 18S ribosomal RNA". It matches the Rfam family "Eukaryotic small subunit ribosomal RNA", at positions 604 to 819 of the family's 1831-position model. The record is from RNAcentral.
UUAAAGUUGUUGCAGUUAAAAAGCUCGUAGUUGAACCUUGGGCCUGGCUGGCCGGUCCGCCUCACCGCGUGCACUGGUCCGGCCGGGCCUUUCCUUCUGGGGAACCGCAUGCCCUUCACUGGGCGUGCUCGGGGAACCAGGACUUUUACUUUGAAAAAAUUAGAGUGUUCAAAGCAGGCCUUUGCUCGAAUACAUUAGCAUGGAAUAAUA